Molecule: ribosomal RNA, 360 nt
Filed under: Triticum aestivum (bread wheat)
Lineage: Eukaryota; Viridiplantae; Streptophyta; Magnoliopsida; Poales; Poaceae
Description: partial small subunit ribosomal RNA
Source: RNAcentral
AUGGUUUUGGUAUCCGCCCCCGUCGGCCCUCGUCCUGUCUAUGAUUCGGAUGUGGUUGUAUGUGAAUUGGAAAUGCCAACCGACACUAUUGUUGAGAGGUUAAAUUUAGUUGAAGAAGAAAACAAUUUAUUGAAGGAAAAAAUAAAAAAAAUUGAGGAGGAGAAGAUGAUAUUGGAGUUGCAUGUUGCGGAUGUCGUCGAUCAUCACAAGAUCAAGAUGGAUGCAAUGCGCUUGAAGAUUAGAAAGAUUGGAAAAUAUGCCAUUCAUACCGAGGCUUGGUAUCAUUAUGUCGUUGGAUCAAUUGUUACCUUGGUUGCAAUUAUGAUCGCAUUUGUUUUCGCAUUGAAAUGUUUUACAUAG